This 253-nucleotide ribosomal RNA is filed under the name uncultured bacterium. Its description in RNAcentral is "partial 16S ribosomal RNA". It matches the Rfam family "Bacterial small subunit ribosomal RNA", at positions 524 to 776 of the family's 1533-position model. The record is from RNAcentral.
GACAGAGGUGCCGAGCGUUAGGCGGAAUCACUGGGCUUAAGGCGUGUGUAGGCGGACUUCUAAGUACCUUGUGAAAUCCCAUGGCUCAACCCUGGAAUGCCGAUGGAUACUGCGGAGCUAGAGUCCGGAAGAGGCGAGUGGAAUUCCUGGUGUAGCGGUGAAAUGCGCAGAUAUCAGGAGGAACACCAAUGGCGAAGGCAGCUCGCUGGGACGGUACUGACGCUGAGACGCGAAAGCGUGGGGAGCAAACAGG